Molecule: ribosomal RNA, 468 nt
Filed under: uncultured bacterium
Lineage: Bacteria
Description: partial 16S ribosomal RNA
Rfam family: Bacterial small subunit ribosomal RNA
Source: RNAcentral
GACGAACGCUGGCGGCGUGCUUAACACAUGCAAGUCGAACGGAAAGGCCCUGCUUUUGUGGCGUGCUCGAGUGGCGAACGGGUGAGUAACACGUGAGUAACCUGCCCUUGACUGUGGGAUAACUUUAGGAAACUGGGGCUAAUACCCGAUAGGAGCUCCUGCUGCAUGUUGGUGGUUGGAAAGUUCCGGCGGUUGGGGAUGGACUGGCGGCUUAUCAGCUUGUUGGUGUGGUAGUGGCUUACCAAGGCUUCGAAGGGUAGCCUGCCUGGGAGGGGGACCGGCGUCCAUAGGACUACGGGACGGCCCAGACGGCAACGGGCGGCAGCGGUGGAAAGUAUUGCAGAAUGGGCGGGAGUCAGAUACAGCAGCGCCGCGUGCGGGAUGACCGGCUUCGGGUUAUGAACCGAUUUCGCCGGAGACGAGGCGAGCGUGACGGUAAUGAGUAAAGAAGCACCGGCUAACUACGUG